AUGAAUGUAUUUGUGACAUCCCAGGGACAUCACCAGAGCGAUGACGCUGCCAUCCCGGUUCCCAUGGAAACCAAACUGGAACAGAAGGAACAAAAGGCUGUUGAAGGUCACCAGUGCAAAGGAGACACAAGAAGAAAAACCUUCAGGAGUAGGGGGAAACUCUUGAGGAGGUGGACUGGAAAGUCACUUUGGAGGCAAUCUGUCAGCCACUGUUCACAAUUUCUCUUUGGCUCCCACAGCUGGGAACAAAUCAUCUGA
This 258-nucleotide long non-coding RNA is filed under the name Monodelphis domestica (gray short-tailed opossum). RNAcentral's name for it is "lncRNA (ENSMODG00000043288.1)". Lineage: Eukaryota; Metazoa; Chordata; Mammalia; Didelphimorphia; Didelphidae. The record is from RNAcentral.